This 67-nucleotide transfer RNA is filed under the name Agrypnus sp. UPOL RK0030. RNAcentral describes it as "tRNA-Glu". Lineage: Eukaryota; Metazoa; Arthropoda; Insecta; Coleoptera; Elateridae. The record is from RNAcentral.
AUUUAUAUAGUUUAAAAUAAAACCUUACAUUUUCAUUGUAAAAUUAAAAUAAAGAUUUUUGUAAAUA